This is a ribosomal RNA of 424 nucleotides. It matches the Rfam family "Bacterial large subunit ribosomal RNA", at positions 2565 to 2925 of the family's 2925-position model. The record is from Rfam.
UCAAGGUGGCGUGCCAUAAAGCGUACGGACUGGUCGACGUCGUGAGCAUUCGGUCAUAUCGGGUGGCGUAAGCAUGAGAGGACCUUCCUAGUACGGAAGACCGGAAGGACGUCUGGUGUACAGUUAUCGUGCCCACACGGUAAACGCUGGGUAGCCAGUCGGAGCGGAUAACUGCUGAAAGCAUCUAAGUAGUAAGCCCACCCCAAGAUGAGUGCUCUCCUAUUCCGACUUCCCCAGAGCCUACGGUAGCACAGCCGAGACAGCGACGGGUUCUCUGCCCCUGCGGGGAUGGAGCGACAGAAGUUUUGAGAAUUCAAGAGAAGGUCACGGCGAGACGAGCCGUUUAUCAUUACGAUAGGUGUCAAGUGGAAGUGCAGUGAUGUAUGCAGCUGAGGCAUCCUAACAGACCGGUAGACUUGAACCU